CCGCAACCUCAUGGUUCCUAGUCAGAUUUGUUUCCGUUGUGCCAUGAUGGGAACUCCUCUUGUAUAUUCUUAAUUUAUUGCAUUCUUCAUCUCUGUUUGGUUACUCUUUAUAUUUUCUCUUUGUCAGUAACUGUUAACUUCUCCCUCUAUGCAUUCAUUCUUUGCCCAAGUUCUCUGAUCAUCUUUACAGUCACUGCCCUGAACUCUUUCUUGGUUAUUUGCCUGAAAACACUUCAGUUAGUUCUUUUGGGGUUUUAUCUUGUUCCUGCGUCUGGAAAUGUUCCUCUGUUGCUUCACUUUGCCAGAAUGCUGUUUGUAUUUUUAUGUAUUUGGUAGGUUGUGUUUCUUGACCUUAGAGACAUGGCCUUGUUUGGAGGUAACUUAUGUGUUCCAACAGUGCAUUCCCCUCUCAUCACCCAAGCUCUGUGCUCUAGGGCUUCCUCACUGUUCAUGCCAUAUGUGUCCUUCUGUUGUUGUGGGCUCUGCUGUCUGGUAGGGUUGACGGGACAAGGUCACCGGGUGGCUGACCAUAGAACCCCAGGGGCCCUGGGGCUAAUGCUGCCCACUGGUGGGUGGAGUUAGGGUCUAGAAGAUUCCAGGGCUGUGGCUCACUGUAUGGUGGGUGAAGCCAAGUCCUGGAGUUAAUGCUGGCAUACUAGUGAGCAUCAGGUCCUGGAGUCUGGUCACAAGGCCCAGGGGUCCCAGAACUGUUAUCACUGGUGGGGGUGGGAGGGCCGUGUUCCUGACAAGAUGCUUGUGGGGUCCAGGAUAUCCCAAAGGUCUGACCUGCUGACGGGCCAGGAGUAUCUCCAGGCUGCAAGAGUGUGGUUUUCUUGUGUCAGGCGUCUGUCCCUGAUGGGUAAGGCUGGUCCAAAGGCUAGAGAUGGCUCUGCGGAUGGCAGGGAAAGGGCAGGGCUGGGCCCUGGAGCCUUUGCCAGGACCAGUGUCCAUGUGGUAGAAGGAAAUCCUGAGAAUGGCUGCCACCAGUUUCGGGGUUCCCAGGCCGAGCUGCACCUGGCUCCUGCCUCUUUGGAAGACACUCCGAGAUCAACAUGUAGGUCUGACCCGGGCUCCUGGCACUGACUGCUUCUGCCCUGGGUCCUGGAGCAGGUAAGGGUGUGCAUGCCCUUUAUGAGUGAAGCCUGGCUGUCCCCCAGCCCUCUGGGAUGCCUGAAAGUAGAAGUCACUGGGGGCUACCUUCCCAGCAGGAGGCUGGGCUGGGGAGCCUGACGGGGGACACAGAGCUCUCAGUCCUUGGGGGGAACCUAUGUGAUAUAACUCUCCUGUUCAUAGGGCUUCCUUUUGGGGGUAUGCAGUUUGACUACAGCAUGAAUCCUGCCCUCCUGCCCAUCGCUUGGUUCCUCCUUUAUGUGGAAGAUCUUCUCUGUUCCCAGGCAGUCUGAGCAGCAGCUGUAACUUAACCACAGCCGCGGCGAUGCUGGAUCCUCAACCCACUGAGCUGGACCAGGGAAUGAACCAGGUCUUCCCCAGAGACAAGCUGGAGUAUUAACCCACGGCACCACAGUAAAAACUCCACAACAGCAUUUCUCUUCAUUAUUUGGAGUUUUGGCACCUGAGGCAAGAGCCCUGCUUGCACCCCUCGCCUUGCCCUCGUCUGGCCCUGUGAGUCGUAGGUCUGGUCUGGGGCCUUGCACUGCAUCUCUCAGGCACUCAGCUACUGUUCCACAGCCCAUAUGUGAGUAAGGGGGCUGGAGAAUCAUCCUGCCUGAGAUACGGACUGGGCAGUUCUAAUUUAGGGUUGAGAUAAACAUUUAAUUUGUCCCUACUCAUUAUUAUUUUUCUCCAAAAAUACCUAGUUAAAGGUAUAGUAAGAUACCACAUAAAGUGCCUUGAAAUUCUCCUCAGCAGAAGCUAUGUAAGCUUGCUCUAGUCACUGAAAUCAGUUAAAAACUUCAGCUUGAAAAGGAAAGUCCAUCAAUGCCACAGAUCUUGUGGGGUUUUUUUUUAUUGAAAGAUCUUUUCCCUUCAAUAAUGGACAUUUUACAUUAAAACUUUAUACAACCAAAAUCUCAAAAUAAUAUUAAAAUCACAGUAAGCUAUUUUCAUUAAGUCUCUACUUCAUUUUAUUGUUGAUAAAAAUAUUGCAAGACACUUGUAACUCUAAUGUUUCUGCUUUAAAAUAAGCAAUUAAAACUAAAUGUCACAAGAAGAGACAAUGAGUACAUACUACAAUUUGCUAAUAACUGGCUAAAAUAAUUUAAUAGUAAUUAAUGUAUAAGAAACAAUUGCACUUGAAAAAUUAAAAAAGUAAACAAAAAACCCUCUAGUUUUGUAUAUGUGUCUUAUGAACAGAGGUUAAUCAUCUACAACCUUACCAGGAGUAUGUAUAUUUAUUUAAAUUAGAAAAACAAAGCUUGUUAUUGAACAUAGAAAUCAUUCGUUUCAUUUUUAAAAGUCUUGAAUUUGUAUAUGCUUUACAGAAUUGCCCCCACAGUUUGCUAUCAGAAAAGACUGCAACACAACUAAAGCAAAAUAACACUUCAUUGGUAUUUAGUGCAAAUUUGGAGUAAUUUUUACAUGAAAUAUUAAAACAUGUAACUUUUAGAAGUUAUUGGAAUAAGUGCUAUGACUGUCCUUUCCUCAGUAUGGUCUUCUUUUAAAGAUUUUGAUGGAAAUUUGUAACUGAGGUAUUUCUCCUUUGUAUGGGCUCAGUGCCAUUACAGAGGUGACAUGUCUACCAUUCUGUUAGUGAUCUUUUUUCUUUGCCUGUUCUCUGUCAUUACUGUGAUAUAAUCCAAAGCUGACAGGAUGAAAGAAAGAGUCAAUGCAGAAGAACUAAUGGAGCACUCUAAUUCCAGGGCUCUGGAUGGAUGGAGUCCAAUUAAAAAGUGUGACCCUAGUGAGAAAAUCAUUGAAACUAACAAAUGUCUGCAUAUUUGAUUUAGAAAUGAAUAUCAGUGUGAAAAACAUGCAGUGGAAUAUUGCUUCUUACAGCCAUAAAAAAAAUUUCCAUUGAUUCUGAACAGUCUGAAGGUCCACUAUAUAUAUAUAUAUAUUAUAUGAAUUCCAACUUGCAGAAGUAAAACUAUCUACGUUACCACAUAUGCCAGCUGCUACCAAGACGCUGAGCCAUCACUUCUGGAAAGAAAAUGCCUUUUAGAUGGUCAAUAACUGUGCUCAUCCUUUAAGGUACAUUCUUUAAGGAGACUAGCAUAUAUCUUUUAAGUAAGCAUAAAGGAAAAUGAUACUAAUAAAAUGUGUUUUGUGGGAGAGGGAAAAGGGACAUAGUUCUUUUCCCUGCACUAAGCAAAGGAUUUGUACUUAGACUUUGAAGUCAGAAUUGAAAAAAAAAGGCAAUAUGCCAACACCAUGAAAUAUCAGUUAGUGUUAGCAAUGUGUGGGUUUGCUGAAUGUCUGUGAGUCAUGGAAAGCAAAUUCAGGGAAAUAAAAGUUAAUAUAAGUGGCUUUUAAAUUGCCAAGUCCCUUCUUUUUUAUGUGUGUGUAGUAACAAGGCCACUUAAAACUCAGAUGUUGGUAAAGGUAGCAAGAUGUACUCUCUGCGUUAUAAACGCUGUGGAACAUUUGACUCUAAACAUGAAUUACUUGAUCAUGGUAAAGAAACUUCCCAGAGGAAGUCCUUAGUGCAGAGGCUUCAAAUCGUGUCUUACUGUUGCCUUCUUUUCAAGACUUGAAGGAUUUCCAGAGAUGUGGUGUCCAUCACCUUUGUACCCUGGCUAUUGGCUGGUUUGGGGGAUUGUUCUAUUAUUUUUCCUGUCUCACUUUUGCCACUUUGGGUGAAAUGACCCUCCCCCUCAGAGUUUGAAAAACUAGAUUAAUACCAGUGUAUCCCAAACUUCUCAACCUUGAUGAAAUACCUGACAUUAUCUAUCUCGAUUUUACCAGCAUACACACAU
Molecule: non-coding RNA, 3875 nt
Organism: Sus scrofa (pig)
Lineage: Eukaryota; Metazoa; Chordata; Mammalia; Artiodactyla; Suidae
Source: RefSeq, a predicted model, not a curated record